Molecule: small nuclear RNA, 109 nt
Organism: Vicugna pacos (alpaca)
Lineage: Eukaryota; Metazoa; Chordata; Mammalia; Artiodactyla; Camelidae
Source: Ensembl
GUGCUCGGUUCAGCAGCACAUACACAAAAAAACUGGAAUGAUACAGAGAAGAUUAGUAUGGCCCUCGUUCAAGGAUGACACGCAAAUUCGUGAAACUUUCCAAAUUUUC